Molecule: ribosomal RNA, 292 nt
Filed under: uncultured bacterium
Lineage: Bacteria
Description: partial 16S ribosomal RNA
Rfam family: Bacterial small subunit ribosomal RNA
Source: RNAcentral
GUGCCAGCAGCCGCGGUAAUACAGAGGUCCCGAGCGUUGUUCGGAUUCACUGGGCGUAAAGGGUGCGUAGGUGGCAGGGUAAGUCGGAUGUGAAAGCUCGGAGCUCAACUCCGAAAUGGCAUUGGAAACUACCCAGCUCGAGGGUUGGAGGGGGGACUGGAAUGCUUGGUGUAGCAGUGAAAUGCGUAGAUAUCAAGCGGAACACCAGUGGCGAAGGCGAGUCCCUGGACAACUCCUGACACUGAGGCACGAAAGCUAGGGGAGCAAACAGGAUUAGAUACCCGGGUAGUCC